CACUGAAAUUGAAAACCUUUAAUAUUACAUGACGUAGUACGCGAUUUAUUUAUUUAAAUUUACAGACUAAAAAAAAUUUGAAUGCAUAACAGCACGGAAUCCUGAUGACACGAAUAUUACUUGACACAGACCGCGAUUAUUUGAUAUAAAUUUACAUCACAUAUGAUGUAAAUAAAAAGAAGCAUCACAUAUGACGGAAUUUUCAAUGCGAAUUUAAUAUUACACGUCCUAAAUAUUUUACAUGUUUUCCAAUUCUACGCGUCUUUAGAAGUGAAUUAGAAAUUUCUGAAAAUUACACGACACGUAAUGUAAUAACUCCACGGAGUUAUAUUAAUAUUACAUUACACUGAGCGCGCUCAUGUCAUGUAAAAAUAAAAACUGUCAAAAACAGAAAAAAAGUCUUCAGUCAAGUCGUGCACCAAAGCGAUUUUCCGAAUGUUUGAUAUAGCAGAUUUUUCGGUUAGUUCUCAAUAAUUUAAAAAUCAAUUACAAAUAUGUUCGUCAUCGAGUUUUCCGUGUGAUUGGCCUCUCGGGAGGUUUAUGAAAGAUUUUAGUGCAGCGGUACGGCGAUGAAUUUGACAGAUGAUUGAAGUUUUGUUUAAUUUUAUUUGUUGAUUUUUUUUUCGCAACACAAGAGAAAAUUGAAUGUGGAAAGGAAAGAAAGUGUAAAAUUAUCAAGCUGCCACUGAAUCAUUUUUAACGGGAGUCGGAAAAUCCUCGUUUUCAAUUCAAGGUGCAGAAAUAUUUAAGGAUAAGCUGCCGUUUCCGGAAGCGAAAAUCCAUCAUCUGGACGUAUAAAAUUUGUAAGCAGCUCACUAGUCCCAUUAAAAAGAACUACAAGUUGACGAAGGCCUCCCCUGGGAGAAGAUCGCAAUAAUGAAUGCUAUCCAAGAGUGGGCAGGGAAGAGACAAAAACGUAACACCGAUAUCAUCGUUCUAAUCUUCCUGAUUGAGUCAAUAUGUUUACGCAGUGGACGUGGCUGCCAAUGAGCGUAUAGGUAAGCCUUUUUAUUGUUCUUGUUCCAAAUAACUUUCCUUAUAAAAAAGUAAGAAAACAGUAGGUACACCUAGAAUAGUGCAAUGCAGCUGUUUAAACCCACACAAAACAUUUCUUGUCUAAAAACGUUUAAGGAAGACUUGGACUACACGUGAAACGAUAUGUUGUCACUUGGUUCGAUGUAUCCUAUCAAAAGAUUUAUUAGGGGGAAUUUUUAUUCGUUCCUUUUAUUAAGCAAUUAAUUUGAAUCAUUCAGGAAAAAUAGCGCAUGUGUGAUCGAAAAAUCUUAUUUUGGAAGACAUUUCUAAACUUUUUUUCUCCCACAGGCACAUAUUUCAUAACCCGAGGAGUUGCACUCGAUCAGUGAUGGUGCCAAAGGUUCAAAUUGAUCAAACAGGCGAUUGAUAAACAUUGAAAUUCCGAUUUUAAUACACCAUAAAACAGACGAAUAUAGUUUGUCUUCGCGAUGCAAGAGAAACAAAAUGCCGAAUUGAAUUUCCUUGGCUCCAAUUGCAGGAAGUUGAUAUGGGGCCAUCUGUCAAAGGAACUGAGCCAAAAACUCAUGGUACGAUCUAUUCCGCGGACACUACGUGACCACCAAGUAAGCCAGGUUUUCCAGGCCGCCGGAUGAAGUUCGUUGUUUUUAUCGAACGCACCCAGCUCGAGAAAUCCAACGGAACUAACCAUAGACGUAAGCGUCCAACAAAUCAAUUGUUCAAUCGUGAAGCGGAAGACCUCCCCAAAAAUUCGUCGCUAAACGAAAUAAAUAAUAUUGAUUGUGAAAUACUGUUUUUUUUUACCGGGAAAUCAAUAGCAGUGAAUCAGUCUUCUAAAAAGUAAACAAACCUCAUUCCAAUAGGAUUUUUUUCUUCCUAAAUUCAGUGGUUUUUAAAUUUACAUCACUUCAAUAUUACACGUCUGCAGAAAUUUACAGGCGUGCAAUAUUCAACUCACACUGAAAAUUCCGUC
Molecule: long non-coding RNA, 1966 nt
Organism: Uranotaenia lowii
Lineage: Eukaryota; Metazoa; Arthropoda; Insecta; Diptera; Culicidae
Exons: 3
Source: RefSeq, a predicted model, not a curated record